ACAGAAGGGGAUUUAUAUAUACCAUGUCAUAAAAGUGGUUUUCCCAGGGGGAGGCUCAUCCAUUGCACUUUGGGUGUGCUGCUGAUCCCUGUGAUUUCCCCAAAUGUGGGGAACUCAACUGCAUAAUUUGUGUUAAUGGGAGAUUACAUUUGUGAUUUCCCU
RNAcentral lists this small nuclear RNA (162 nucleotides) under Pogona vitticeps (central bearded dragon). RNAcentral's name for it is "U1 spliceosomal RNA (ENSPVIG00000015703.1)". It matches the Rfam family "U1 spliceosomal RNA". From Rfam's summary of the family: U1 is a small nuclear RNA (snRNA) component of the spliceosome (involved in pre-mRNA splicing). Its 5' end forms complementary base pairs with the 5' splice junction, thus defining the 5' donor site of an intron. The record is from Rfam by way of RNAcentral. Lineage: Eukaryota; Metazoa; Chordata; Lepidosauria; Squamata; Agamidae.